Non-coding RNA from Bos taurus (domestic cattle), 73 nucleotides. NCBI's taxonomy places the organism in Eukaryota, Metazoa, Chordata, Mammalia, Artiodactyla, Bovidae. The record is from Rfam.
UCCCUAGUGGCUCAGAGGGUAAAGCGUCUGCCUGCAGUGCAGGUAGACCUGGGUUCGAUACCUGGGUCAGGAA